GGGAAGCUCCGGCGGUCUCUCGGUUGAGCAUUCACACUGCAGGGGUCGCAAGUUCGAAACUUGCACUUCCCACCA
RNAcentral lists this transfer RNA (75 nucleotides) under Duganella violaceipulchra. RNAcentral's name for it is "tRNA-Val". The record is from RNAcentral. Lineage: Bacteria; Pseudomonadati; Pseudomonadota; Betaproteobacteria; Burkholderiales; Oxalobacteraceae.